UAGGGAAUCUUCGGCAAUGGACGAAAGUCUGACCGAGCAACGCCGCGUGAGUGAAGAAGGUUUUCGGAUCGUAAAACUCUGUUGUUAGAGGAACAAGGACGUUAGUAACUGAACGUCCCCUGACGGUAUCUAACCAGAAAGCCACGGCUAACUACGUGCCAGCAGCCGCGGUAAUACGUAGGUGGCAAGCGUUGUCCGGAUUUAUUGGGCGUAAAGCGAGCGCAGGCGGUUUCUUAAGUCUGAUGUGAAAGCCCCCGGCUCAACCGGGGAGGGUCAUUGGAAACUGGGAGACUUGAGUGCAGAAGAGGGGAGUGGAAUUCCAUGUGUAGCGGUGAAAUGCGUAGAUAUAUGGAGGAACACCAGUGGCGAAGGCGGCUCUCUGGUCUGUAACUGACGCUGAGGCUCGAAAGCGUGGGGAGCAAACAGG
Molecule: ribosomal RNA, 427 nt
Filed under: Gemmatimonadota bacterium
Lineage: Bacteria; Pseudomonadati; Gemmatimonadota
Description: Gemmatimonadetes bacterium partial 16S ribosomal RNA
Rfam family: Bacterial small subunit ribosomal RNA
Source: RNAcentral